RNAcentral lists this ribosomal RNA (492 nucleotides) under uncultured bacterium. RNAcentral describes it as "partial 16S ribosomal RNA". It matches the Rfam family "Bacterial small subunit ribosomal RNA", at positions 29 to 507 of the family's 1533-position model. The record is from RNAcentral.
AGUGAACGCUGGCGGUAGGCCUAACACAUGCAAGUCGAACGGCAGCACAGUAAGAGCUUGCUCUUACGGGUGGCGAGUGGCGGACGGGUGAGGAAUACAUCGGAAUCUACUUUUUCGUGGGGGAUAACGUAGGGAAACUUACGCUAAUACCGCAUACGACCUACGGGUGAAAGCAGGGGAUCUUCGGACCUUGCGCGAUUGAAUGAGCCGAUGUCGGAUUAGCUAGUUGGCGGGGUAAAGGCCCACCAAGGCGACGAUCCGUAGCUGGUCUGAGAGGAUGAUCAGCCACACUGGAACUGAGACACGGUCCAGACUCCUACGGGAGGCAGCAGUGGGGAAUAUUGGACAAUGGUCGCAAGCCUGAUCCAGCUAUACCGCGUGGGUGAAGAAGGCCUUCGGGUUGUAAAGCCCUUUUGUUGGGAAAGAAAAGCAGCAGGUUAAUACCCCGCUGUUCUGACGGUACCCAAAGAAUAAGCACCGGCUAACUUCGUG